RNAcentral lists this unclassified non-coding RNA (424 nucleotides) under soil metagenome. Its description in RNAcentral is "partial contains 5.8S ribosomal RNA, internal transcribed spacer 2, and large subunit ribosomal RNA". The stretch from base 1 to 120 matches the Rfam family "5.8S ribosomal RNA", at positions 35 to 154 of the family's 154-position model. The record is from RNAcentral.
GAUGAAGAACGCAGCGAAAUGCGAUACGUAAUGUGAAUUGCAGAAUUCAGUGAAUCAUCGAAUCUUUGAACGCAUAUUGCGCUCUCUGGUAUUCCGGAGAGCAUGCUUGUUUGAGUAUCAGUAAACACCUCAACUCCCUUUCUUCUUGAAAUGGAGCUGGACUUGAGUGAUCCCAACGCUUUAUUCAUGAAGUGGCGGGUUACUUGAAAUGCAGGUGCAGCUGGACUUUUCUCUGAGCUAUAAGCAUAUCUAUUUAGUCUGCCUCAAAACAGAUUAUUACCUUUGCUGCAGCUAACAUAAAGGAGAUUAGUUCUUGUGCUGACUGAUGCAGGAUUCACAAAGACCGCUUCGGCUGUCUUUGUAAACUCGAUCUCAAAUCAAGUAAGACUACCCGCUGAACUUAAGCAUAUCAAUAAGCGGAGGA